GGCGUAAAGCGCACGCAGGCGGUCUGUCAAGUCGGAUGUGAAAUCCCCGGGCUCAACCUGGGAACUGCAUUCGAAACUGGCAGGCUAGAGUCUUGUAGAGGGGGGUAGAAUUCCAGGUGUAGCGGUGAAAUGCGUAGAGAUCUGGAGGAAUACCGGUGGCGAAGGCGGCCCCCUGGACAAAGACUGACGCUCAGGUGCGAAAGCGUGGGGAGCAAACAGGAUUAGAUACCCUGGUAGUCCACGCCGUAAACGAUGUCGACUUGGAGGUUGUGCCCUUGAGGCGUGGCUUCCGGAGCUAACGCGUUAAGUCGACCGCCUGGGGAGUACGGCCGCAAGGUUAAAACUCAAAUGAAUUGACGGGGGCCCGCACAAGCGGUGGAGCAUGUGGUUUAAUUCGAUGCAACGCCAAGAACCUUACCUACUCUUGACAUCCAGAGAACUUAGCAGAGAUGCUUUGGUGCCUUCGGGAACUCUGAGACAGGUGCUGCAUGGCUGUCGUCUGCUCGUGUUGUGAAAU
Molecule: ribosomal RNA, 517 nt
Filed under: Klebsiella aerogenes
Lineage: Bacteria; Pseudomonadati; Pseudomonadota; Gammaproteobacteria; Enterobacterales; Enterobacteriaceae
Description: bacterial SSU rRNA
Rfam family: Bacterial small subunit ribosomal RNA
Source: RNAcentral